This 237-nucleotide ribosomal RNA is filed under the name uncultured bacterium. RNAcentral describes it as "partial 16S ribosomal RNA". It matches the Rfam family "Bacterial small subunit ribosomal RNA", at positions 103 to 334 of the family's 1533-position model. The record is from RNAcentral.
CGGGUGAGUAACACGUGGGUAACCUGCCUAAAAGAAGGGGAUAACACUUGGAAACAGGUGCUAAUACCGUAUAUCUCUAAGGAUCGCAUGAUCCUUGGAUGAAAGAUGGUUCUGCUAUCGCUUUUAGAUGGACCCGCGGCGUAUUAACUAGUUGGUGGGGUAACGGCCUACCAAGGUGAUGAUACGUAGCCGAACUGAGAGGUUGAUCGGCCACAUUGGGACUGAGACACGGCCCAA